UAGCCUACGGGGGGCAGCAGUGGGGAAUAUUGCACAAUGGGGGAAACCCUGAUGCAGCGACGCCGCGUGAGCGAAGAAGUAUUUCGGUAUGUAAAGCUCUAUCAGCAGGGAAGAAAAUGACGGUACCUGACUAAGAAGCUCCGGCUAAAUACGUGCCAGCAGCCGCGGUAAUACGUAUGGAGCAAGCGUUAUCCGGAUUUACUGGGUGUAAAGGGAGCGUAGGCGGUAAGGCAAGUCUGAUGUGAAAGCCCGGGGCUCAACCCCGGGACUGCAUUGGAAACUACCGAACUAGAGUGUCGGAGAGG
RNAcentral lists this ribosomal RNA (305 nucleotides) under uncultured bacterium. RNAcentral's name for it is "bacterial SSU rRNA". It matches the Rfam family "Bacterial small subunit ribosomal RNA", at positions 335 to 657 of the family's 1533-position model. The record is from RNAcentral.